Molecule: transfer RNA, 85 nt
Filed under: Nannocystis sp.
Lineage: Bacteria; Pseudomonadati; Myxococcota; Nannocystales; Nannocystaceae
Description: tRNA-Ser
Rfam family: tRNA
About the family: Transfer RNA (tRNA) molecules are approximately 80 nucleotides in length. Their secondary structure includes four short double-helical elements and three loops (D, anti-codon, and T loops).
Source: RNAcentral
GGAGAGGUGUCCGAGUGGCCGAUGGUGCCUGACUCGAAAUCAGGUGUAGCGAAAGCUACCGGGGGUUCGAAUCCCUCCCUCUCCG